GCAUCUGUCGGGCUUCGUCCAGCCGGCCCUGCAGCACCAAGAUGGUCACCUGCGGGGGCACCCGAGCACGACUCCACCACGAGACACGCCACACGCUUCCCGUUUCCACCUCGACUUCCUGCCUCUGUGCAGGAUGUAAGCUUCUCCAUAAAGAAGGGCCUGACCCACUUCAGUGGUCCACAAAGAAACUGAUUUCCCUUCUGGCUGGAAAGCCCACCGCAAAUUACUUUUCUUACGUGGUAACUGGGUUCUAAACUAGCAUGUUUCCCUGAAAGACGCAGAGAGCGGCCGAGCGCCCGCAGGCCCGUGAGCAACCGCAGGCCCACCCGGGGCAUGGGGAAGGCAGAACGUGAAGUGUGGGGCAGGGAGGCCCGGCCUACGCAGGGUCCUUACCAACU
Long non-coding RNA from Artibeus jamaicensis (Jamaican fruit-eating bat), 398 nucleotides. RefSeq lists it as uncharacterized. NCBI's taxonomy places the organism in Eukaryota, Metazoa, Chordata, Mammalia, Chiroptera, Phyllostomidae. The transcript is spliced from 3 exons. The record is from RefSeq and is a predicted model, not a curated record.